CCCCAAGCUUACCUCUUGCUCGUCCCUGAGCAAGGAUAGACUCAGCAAUGGAUCAGAAGUUGUUGCAAUAUCUUAAAAAUUUGACGGUACACAUGCUUUUUAAAUAAGUUCUCAUCUCUGAGUUAGAGUAAACUGUCAAGAACUAAAACUUACUUACUUUACCUUUCACCAUGGGACUUGUAACCGUCACUUCUGUCUUGAGUAGUUAAAAGAUAGAACAGUCUAGCCAAGUGCCAUGUCUCUUAUUCUUGAUCAGCUAUAGCUCUGGAGUUUUUGUAGAUUUUCAAAUAAAACUCAGAGAUUCCUUGUAUGACUCUCUAAAUCUCUCUUUUGUGGUAUUUCUGGAUCCUUACCAAGGCAGUGAUGGUAUAUGCCUUCUCUCAAGAUAUGUGGUGUUUGUGGUAUAAGGCAUAGUGACAUUGCCUUCUCUCUCACCCUACUCUAAUAAAGCUUUAAUAUCUGGAGUUUAUAGGUGGGAGAUAAAGUAUACAUACUUACAAGACAUUUAUUGUGUAGUCAAACCAUGGAUCCAGAGAAACAAAUCAAUAAGCCAAAUCAAGAUGUGCAUGUGUGGCGAAUGAAUGGUGUAUAGUGAUGAUGGUGAUAACAAUGGUGAAAGUCUAAUUCUACUUUUGCUCUUAUGAGGGGAUACAUACCUUCCUUGCUUUUUGAAACUUUAUGAGGAGAAUGAGAUGCUCUUCUUUUUCUUUCCUCUCAGGUGGGCAUCUUGUACCCCUAAUUCUACUGUCGGACACUUGUCCAUUUUUACCUCUCGUCUCACUUUUUCUUUCUUUCGAGAUUCCGGGCACUUGCCCCUUUUUAUUUCCUCGUUUAUUAUUAUUAUUUAUUUUUUUUCUUGUCUUUUCUUUUUUUCAGAGCAGUCAUCUCCUGAAAUAAUGUAGCAAGUGGUAGUAACCAAAAUAACUGGAGCAUUUAUUUCACAGGGAAUAACAGGGAUAGGAAAAUGUUUUUGGCUAUUCUCUCCCGGAUUAGGAGUAGAAUAUUUUUAGGUGAUUCUGAAGAUGGAAAUGGAUGGAUAUAUGUGGAUGGUACUUCCGGAGUAGAAGUAGCAUAUAUGAGUGAACGUGCAAGUGAAUCUUGAUUUAACCACAUGACAGGCUCCAAAGGGUCUACACAGCUUGACCACACUCAAUGCUCAUAAGCAGUAAAUAGUAAAUGUGUGGCUCAAAGUCUAGCAAGCAUGUAUAUAUGGCUGUGGUAGGAAUUUAAACUCUCAUCAUACAGGAACUCAUCAUGCAAUAUUUUUAAAGAUUUUUCAAAGAUAAAAUUCUCCAGAAUUCUAGCAUCUCUAGGAACAGAUAAACAGCAGCUCAACCUUCCCAUAUCAUAUCCGUUAACAACUUAGAUUUCAGAUCAAGUCUUCAUCCCACAAGUUUAGAUCUAGAGCAAGCUUUAAAUUAUAACAGUUAUGUCUAAACUUGAGAGAGAACUUCAAAUUUGCAAAUUAGGCAGAGCAACUAUUCAUCAUAUCCAUGCUAGAGUUUUAUUAUUAAGAUUCAUAGCAAACUUUAUUUAUUUAUUUAUUUAUUUAGCAAACUAAGAAAAGAUAUAUAUAUAUAUAUAAGCAUAAAAUCUUUAUUUGGUUUUUCAUAGUUUAUGUAUUUUAAUAUUCUAAUAUAAUAUAAGUAUAAAGAUAGGUAGAAAUACUUAGCGAGAUAAAUGGGGGUGCUCUCCCCCAAGCUGAAUUUUGACGUAAUUUGUCUUGAUGUAGCUAGCAGGUAGCAGAGGUGUAUUUGAAAGUCAGCAGUAUUCCGACAGCGAUUAGAAUGUCCUCCGUCUGCUAGUCUUCUUGAUUCUUAAAUUCUGUGGAGCUCAAAUAGACAACAAAGCUUGUGGAACUAAUUAAGUGUUAGCAUAAAUAUCUAGCCUUCAUCACGUUGAGCUUCCUCAAUAAAUAUUACUCCCUGUUUUUAUAUUUUUAUUUUGUAAAGUAGAAAAGAAAUAUUUAUUUUAUUUUUAUGCCACCACAGUGAAGGUACUUAUGGGUUUUAUGCCACUCGUAUACUCACACGGGGCUUAGUAUUUUUUAAUAUUUUUAUUUUCUUUUCAAGAUAGCAUGAUUAACUAAUAAUCUAUUUAAGGAAAGUAAAUAAUUAAAUGGAAAAGGGAAUGCAGAAUGGAUAAAUAUGGAUAACUACCAAUCUUACCUUUCGGCGAGGGUUCAAUGUUUUAAGUCUUCUUGUCAAGACUUCUCAUCGUGUUCAUUCUUCAGGUGCGUCAUUUGAUUCAGGUGCGGACCUUGACGUCUGCACCUUUUAAUACGGUGUCACCCAUGUUCUUCGUUUGCCCAGCAGUUCGAAGUGCGGUGUUAGCAGUAUCUUGCUCAGUGUGUUUGUGCUCGUAGUGUACCUGCUCAUAGAGACAAGGCAGAGAUCAAGUGCAUGGGCCCUGUUGGUGGAAAACACCAACAGAACCAAAAGUGUAUUUCUUCUCUAACUUUAAGCAUAGUGAGCAUGACAAAGUUGAUGGAUGAUAAGUUCAUGAGUGUAGCACUUAUAACAUUUGUCAGAUCAGAUCGCUCAGCCUUAUGAAAAGAUAAUCUAUCUAUGUAUAUGUCUUUUUCUUUAUAUCUCUCAAUGAUUGAAUGUGUAACAUUUUAGCUCAUAUGAUUAGGAGUGUGGGAUCAUGGAGGUAGUACUAAGAACAAGGAUUAAAGGACUAAACAUGUUGAAUCAGUUGGGUUGGUUAAUCUAGAGUUGUAAAUCAUACACGUUUGUCUCUUUUAUUUAUAUGAA
Molecule: long non-coding RNA, 2756 nt
Filed under: Sorghum bicolor (sorghum)
Lineage: Eukaryota; Viridiplantae; Streptophyta; Magnoliopsida; Poales; Poaceae
Description: long non-coding RNA (SBIC_LNC000937)
Source: RNAcentral